AAACCUUUUACUUGACAGACAUCAAACCUGGCACACUUGGAUAUCUUCAGAAGUAGAUUACCUCUUUUGAUUGUGAGGUCACAUGAUCAAAGGUAGAGGGUAAAAGUGGACAUACGAAUAUACUAUCUGUUUAUUAUCUCUAGAACACUUUACUAUACACAAAUCAAAUUUGGUACACUGGUACAUCGUAAGGAGUAGAUGACCACUAUUGAUCAUGGGUUGCAUGGUCAAUCCACUCUGGACAUAAGAAAAGUUUGUCUGCUGAAUAUCUUGAAUUGGUUUGGCACUACUAUCAUAAUCAAUGAAAUUAUGUGUGUGCAUAACCCUUGUAUAAUUUUGCACCAUGGUGGGCAUCUAUGUUUUACAAACAUUUCUUGUUUUAUAUUAUUCCAUGUGCGAGUUCAAAGGGGGUGCUAGAAGAUGAAAACGGAAGGACAGUUUUAUCACUAGAAUUUUAUAAAAGAGUAGGGCGGACAUACAUGUGUAACUACAAACUUAAUUUGAUUCAGUAUAUAGUGAAGAGAUUUACACUUCACCAGACACAUCAUUCCCUGGCAUACAUACCUAACUAUAACAUAUUAUUCAUUUUAUAUAGAAUUAUUAUACGCCCGUCCUUGGUCGGAACAUAUUUGGGUACAGUAAUGACUAUACGUAUGUCCGUUCAGACUUUCUGUUUCUGUUUUCAUUUCUCUGCCACAUAUCAAGCUAAAACUUGUUAUGUAGCUUAUUUGUGGGUCAUUCUAAAUCAUGUAAUAAUUUUGAUUCAUUUUGACAUAUCUCUUGCAGGAGUGUGUCCUUUUAUUUUAAAAUUCUUUUGAUAUGGAGUGUACAUAAAUUGUCUUGUUAUCUCCUCUGAUAGUUUUCAAAUGAGGACUUUUUUUUAUUUUGAGGAGUGUUUCUAUGAAUGUUAUUGAUGUGCAUAUGACAGGGAUUUUAAUUUUCCUCAGUUUUUUUGAGAACAGUGCACGUUGUUGAACGUAGUUAGUUUCGGGAAAGUAUUAUAUAGAGAGCACAUGACAUGUCCGUCUAAUGCGUUUUUGUCGUAUUAUUUAUAGACACUAUGAGAUUGUGCAGUUCUUCACUUUUUCAAGUUUUUCUUUAGUAGAAAUAUUCCCAUGGUGGUGUUCAAAUUAGUGUAGGGAGGGGUGUUUCUCCACAAACAACGAUAUUAUCAUCACCAUUGUUUUUAAAAUAGUGGAAUAUCGUACUCUCAAAAUUUCAGGUCCCAGGGAAGGUGGUCAUUAAUGUUUCCGAUCCCGAUGUUUAUUCACUAAGUACAAUGCAUUAUGAACAAAAAGUAUAGGAAAGAUCUUCAUAACUAGAGAAAGUACCAUCACCAUUUUCACAAUGAUGGGAACUGACCACUAAUACCUUCAUCUCCAAUUUUAGCUCUUCUGAGCCGAAGGCUCAAAGAGCUAAUCAUAUGGCCAUAUGUCUGGCGUGCGGUGUGCUUCGACUUUUUGGAAAAAGGGCUAUAUCUCAAGAACCUCUUGGCCAAUUUUUGUCAAAUUUGUCAAAGGGUAUCCUUGGACCAAGGGCUUUCAUUUGUACUAAAAUUAGGGUUGUGACCCUUUAACAAAGGAGAUAAUUAGGAAAAUGCAAACAAAAGUAGUGGUUGCUAAAAAGUCUUCUUAAGAACCACUGGGCAAAUUAUCACCAAUCGUAUGCAUAAGGAUGAUGAUGGGUUGUAGAUAAAAAAAAAAAGUGUUCAAGGCAUCAUCCAGGGGCAAAGGGUGCGGUCUUAAGGUCACUUCAAAGUUGACCUUAAAUUUUGUUUUGUUAAAACUUUGAUAUUUUGCUUAGUGUAAGAACUAGGAUCAUCAAAUUUUGUCAGUUGAUGCAUCUUAGGACCUAAUAUCAUGUUGUUUCAAAAGUAGGCCAUGGUGACCUACUUUUUGAAUUUCGCAGGUAAUUAUUAUUAAAUGGAUUUUGAUGCAUAUCUUGGACACUUUUGAGCCUAUGAUCAUCAAAAGUUGUCAGUUGAUGGAUCAUAGGACCUUGAGCUGCGUCAUGUGAAAAUUAUGCCAUGACCUACUUUCUGAAUUUCAUGGCUAAUUAUUUAUAAAUACAUUUUAGGUUAUCAUUUCAGAUACCGAGAGGUUUAGAAUCAUCACACCUUGUAAGUUGAUGCGUCUAGAGGCCUCGAAACAUUUUUAUGAAAAAGUAGGUCACAGUGACCUACUUUUGAAUUUUGUAGACAUUCAAAUUUCACAUUUCAAUUUUAGGUGCAUAUUUUGGACACUAUGAAAGCUAGGAUAAUCAAACUUUGUCAGUUGAUGCAUCUUGAUUCUUCAUAGUUUGCUGACCAAAACGUAGGUCACCGUGACCUACUUUUGGAAUUUGACGGCUAUAUUUUAAUAUUUCUGAUACCACUUGACUUACAAUUAUCAAACUUUGUCAGUUGAUGCAUGUUGAGUUGUCAGAGUGUGUUGACUAAAAAGUAGGUCACCGUGACCUAUUUUUGGAUUUUGACGGCCAUAUUUGAAUAUUUCAGAUACUAUUUGACUUACAAUCAUCAAACUUUGUCAGUUGAUGGGUCUUGAGUCUUCAGUGUGUGUCGACCAAAAAGUAGGUCACUGUGACCUACUUUUGGAAUUUCACGUUUAUAUCUGAAAUUUCAGAUACUAUUUUACUUCAAUUAUCAAACUUUGUCAGUUGAUGCAUCUUGAGUCUUUGGAGUAUGUCGACCAAAAAGUAGGUCACUGUGGCAUUCUUUUGGAAUUUGACGGCUAUAUUUGAAUACUAUUUAACUUGUCAGUUGAUGCAUCUUGAGUGUUCGGUGUGUCGACCAAAUGUAGGUGACCGUGACCUACUUUUGGACAGUUACAUUUAAAUUUUCAGGUACUAUUUGACUUAACAUCAUCAAACUUUGUUAAUUGAUGAAUCUUGGUUAGUGAGAAUUUUUGCCUGUUCUACAAUGUAUCAGAAGAGCGAUUCUAGGCCCAUGGGCCUCUUGUUAUAUCAUGUGACAGAGUGCACUCUUUAUUACAAAUGCAAUCUCUCAGUGGGUUACAUGCUAUCUACCGCGUGUCAAAAUAAUUGUAAGACCAUCUUUAGAUGCUGGUUUUGACUACGGAUUACUCUGUUUACCUGGUUAAGACAUAAAGCCCACGGCAAGUGUAACCGAUGAACAGGGAAUGCGUACUUCUCUUAGACACAUAAACCCACCAAUGCUGUAUCCAGGGGUCCGUGUUUGCCAUACACCAAACGUUGUAUUCAGAGUGUUUAGCGGUAGUGGCAUAUGAUCAAUCAAUUUUUGCAUCAUGGUUUUAUUUAUUUAUAUCCCCCCUCGUGCUGAAAGAGGCAUAUUCUGUUUGUACUUUAUAUCAGUCUGUCUGUCAUGCAUUCAUGUAAACACUUUUCCUCUUAUAUAUUUAACCAGAUAGACUUGAAGCGUUGUACAAUGCUUCAUAGACAUGGAAAAUGCCCCCAUGCAAUUGUGCGUAGACUGUAAAAAUACCGAUUCAUUGAUAACGGGAAGUCAUCCUUAUGUUCCAUCGUUUCAUGUACUUCAUAAGUUAUGUAUACUUACCUUGUACAUAGUGUACGCAUGUUUUAAGAUCGUAAUAGCGUACUAUUUAAACAAGCGUGCAUACUACACCUUUUAUCGAAGUUGCCAUUUUCUGACACCCUCUCUCUCACCGAUCGCGACAGUAUUUUGUUUCACAAAUAUAAAGAAAAUUGAAAAAGAAAAAAAAAAAAAAUGAAAUACCAAUAAAAGACAUUGUCUUUCAACUCUUAUUUCUUCUCUGUUAUUCACCUUUAGAAAAUAUUUUUACAAGCCUAUCUAAUAAACAAGAGGUUUUCAUUCCCCUCAACAUUGAAAAGAUAAAGUUACAAUGACAACCUCUUUUUCUGUUCUGCAGCUGUUGUUUGUGCUCUCUCCUUUUUCUUGUGAAAAUGUGAUCGCCAUUUCAUAACUUAAUAUUCUUUCCAUUCUCUGUCCAUAUAUAUUGCUGUCAUAGCGCCGCAAUUACAAUAUUCUUGACACUUUCGAACACCUAUACAAACAUUUACUUCAUGCCUCGUUCACACUAAAAAAAAAAUAAUUCGCAUUAAACGUAAGUUAAUGCGAAUUAAAUCUGAACAGCAUUCACAUGGAAAUUUUAAUGCACAUCCGUGUGAACUCGGCAUGAACUUCAUCAAAAUCAUGUUGCAGAUUAGUUUAAGAAGAAAUGCUUUUAGCGCUUGUAAAACAAUUCCUGAAACAUUGAUUUUGAUGGAAUUAAUGUAUUUGUCCGAAUUAAAAAAAAUCGUACCUGCAUAUAUCAUUAGCUCACCUGAGCUGAGAGCUCAAGUGAAUUUUUCUGAUCGCCUUCUCUGCGUCGUAUGUUCGUCUGUCUGUCAGUCUGUAAACUUUUAACAUUUUUGACUUCUUUUCCAGAAUCACUGGGCCAAUUAUAACUAAACUUAGCCAAAGGCAUCCUUGGGUAAAGGGCUUUCACCUUUGUUCAGAUGAAGGGCCAUACCCUUUUCAAAGGGGAGAUGAUGACAAAAAUGCAAAAAUAGGGUGGGGUCAUUUAAAAUUUUUCUCAAAAACCACUGGGCAUACUCUAUAAUAACUUUCAGCCUACAUUCUUCUCAUUCACUAAUAUUGAUAUAAAAAUAGUGGAGGUAGGGAGACAGUCAUUCGCUAUAUACUUGUAUUUCUUUGCAUAUGAAAAUAACAAAUAAUGAUCAUUCAGACCCACAAAUUAACAUCACUGGCUAUAUAACCAUUCACAAAGACUAAUCGACGAGGUGGUGCCAUAUGUACCUACAUUAGGGAAUAUCUUGCAUUCACUCUGGUUGAGAUUCAAGGAAUAAGAGAUAGCGAUGAGAUUUUGUUCUUAGAUUUCCUGCUGCCAAAGACAAAACCAGUUAUUGUUGGAACGUGUUAUGGACCUCCAACUCCGUCAACUUUUCCUGAGGGAUAGGAUUGUUUUGCUGUUUUUUCGCAACACUCAACAUUUUUUUCCAGUUAUAUGGUGGUGCCCAGUUUUUAUUGGUGGAAGAGAGAACCCAGAUACAAUGUACCUGGGGAGACACAACCGACCUCCCGAAAGUAAACUGGGAAACUUUCUCACUUACCGGCGCGAGUGGGAUUCGAACCCGCGCUGACUAGAGGUGAGAGGCCGUGUGAUAUUGAGCGCGAUGCUCUAACCACUCGCCCACGGAGCCACCCUGAGAGAUUGGAGAAAUCCCUCACUGAAGUGUGAAAUAUCUCUUCUUUAAAAUGUGAUUUUAACAUUUACACCUUCAAUACCAACAAUCAACUUUUUCAUGCACACAUCAUAUCAUCAAACUAUUUGGACUAACUCAAUUGGUUAACGAACCAACAUGUAUCACCGAUAAAUCUAAGUAUUUAAUGGACCAUAUCUUCUGUAAUGAUGCGUAGAAAAUAUGUCAAUCUGGUGUCAUCAAUAUAGGUCUUAGUGACCAUUCUCGUAUUUACUGUACAAGAGAAUCUUACAGAACUUUUUUAGGAAAGCAUGACAAUAUCAAAAUAAGGUCUACAAAAACUUAUGACAAAGACAUUUUUAUUACUUUUUUAACAGAAGCCGAAUGAAGUAAAUAUUUCCAUGCUAACAAUGUUAACGAAUCAUGGUGUGCUUUUAAAGAAAUUUUCGUGAACAAUUUAAACAAAGUUGCGCCAGUGAAAGAAAUCAGAAUAAAGCAAGAGAGAGAGAGAGAGAGAGAGAGAGAGAGAGAGAGAGAGAGAGAGAGAGAGAGAGAGUCUGGAAUGCAGAAAGAAUACAAAUCCUACUGUAAAAUUAGAAAUCUACUUCAGAAUCAGUGUAACAUAUCCGACUACUUUCACGACAAAAUAGAUGAGAACAAACGUAACCCCAGAAAUGUGUGGCCAUGUUUUAAAAGUCUUGGGUACCAACAACAUUCCAAAACUAGCGGUACUACAGUUUUGAACAGUAAUGGUGGAAACUGCUUUGAGAAUCAAACAAUUGCAGAUCACUUUAAUUUAUUUUUCACAAUUGCAGCAAAUCUUGGAGAAAAACUACCCUCUCCCAGAGAUUUAUACAAAGCAGCAUCACAUAUCAUUAAAAGUUUCUAUAAAAAACAAGAGAAAGUAUGAAACCUCCUUCAUUUUAAAGCAUGUUGGGGAAAAUUAUGUUUAUAAAGAACUCUGUUGACUUAAUGUCACCAAAAGUACAGGCUUAUAUGGGAUACCAGCCAGAUUUCUCAAAGAUGCAGCACCUAUCACUAAGCUUCCAUUACAUUUUUGAUAAAUCAGUCUAUAUCGGAAGAAACAGCUCCCAAAAAACUCAAAAUUGCUAAAGUUAAACCUCUUUUCAAGGAAAGUGAUCGAUUAAAAGCAGAAAACUAUAGGCCAGUAAGCAUCUUAAACAAUGUGUCUAAAAUUUUAGAAAAAGCAAUAUAUAAUCAACUCGAAAGUUUUCUUAUUAAUUAUUUUAUAUGACUUCGAAUUAGGAUUCUAGUCAGAAGUUCAUGUUCUACAGACAGCUGUUUAGUGCAUCUUACUGAUUAUAUCAAAUCAAUAUCGGAUAAUUCUUCUUGACCUUCAGAUAAUUUUUGAUAUAGUUGAUUACGGAAGCCGAUAGGUGCCACGGCAUAGAAUUAAUAUCUAUUUAACUCGUGGCCGCCACUUAAGUUAUGUGGCGGCCGCCACUUAAUUUAACUGACGGUCGCCACUUAUUAUCUGGCGGCCGUCAAAUAAAUUAACUUGCGGCUGGCAGUUAAUUUAUGUCGCGGCCGUCAAUUAAUUUAUGUGGCGGCCGACAGUUAAUUUAUAUGGCGGCCGCCAGUUAUUAUCUGGCGGCCGUCAAAUAAAUUUACUUGCAGCAGCCAGUUAAUUUAUGUCGCGGCCGUCAUUUAAUUUAUGUGGCGGCCGCCAGUUAAUUUGUAUGGCGGCUGCCAGUGAAUUAUAUGGCGGCCGCCAGUAAAUAUAACUGGCGGCCGCAAUAUAAAUUAACUGGCGGCCGCCACUCAAUUCAAAUGAUUUAUAUGGCUGUCGCCAGUUAUUCAACUCUUCUCUCUUUCUCUAACUCUCUCUCAAAAUGAAAAGGGUGCAAUCCCUCCCCAAUGCUUAGUAAUAUGUAUGUGAUAUAUAUAGAAUUAAGAGCAUUGCAUUAUUGUUUUUCGAUUGUGUUGUUAAAUACGUAGAACCACGGGGAUGACCCUCCAUUAUUUUGACAACGUUCAAUUUCUGUUAUUUUCACAUGCGAAACUAAGUUAUUUUCACAGGUGAAAUAAGAUUAAUUGGCGGAUUGGCCCCCAUUCCACUCCUUUGGUGGUACUAAUGGAUGGUAAAAAUAUAAUAAUGAACGGACUGAUAAAUGGAAGGAUGAACGGAGCCCCCUCCCUCCAAUUUAGGAGUACAAAGUUUGGGUAAUAUAGACGUUAUAGGUUCCUUUUCUGCUUGUCAACUUCUCCGAUGACUAUCCCUACACUGCUGCGUAUUUGCGUACUAUUCUAAAUCUUUCCAAAAUAAUCAUUGAGCGUUAUGAAUUGAAUUAUUGAAUUGCAAUUGGCAGCCACCAUGUAUAAAUUGAGUGGCGGCCGCCAGAUAAAAUAACUGGCGGUUGCCAAAUAAUAAGUAGCGAACGCCAAUUGCAACCAGACCCAACCUGACACCCAAGCUGUCCCAGAAAGGAGUCCUGGGGACUGCUCUCUCAAAAUGCGGGACUGCUCUGGGACUGCUCUAGAAAGCAGUCCUAGCGGUCCCAGUAGUCCCUGGGACAGCUUUCUGGGACUGCUUUGUUCAGCCAAGCGUGAAUGAAUCACGUGAUGUUAUGAUUGACAGGAAAGUCCCGUCCACCGUGUAUUCAGAAUAUUCACAAAUCACCUCAGUAGUUUUUUCACCGCUUGCUGACGCACUUUCACUAGAGAACUUGAUGGAAAUAGAAUAACAAGAAUAUAUCCCUACAUUCUUCGGCGGAUAAUUUGAAUAAUAUGUAACGAAUCAUUUACAAAUCAAAAAUACGUGUACACGUAAGUGGAAAACAGUUUUUGCUAGUUUAAUAUAGACGAUAAGUGAAUAAAUCAUUUAGGCGACUUUACACACAUUUAUUUCAAUAACGCAGUCAAGAAAUAAAUAUAGUUAUGCUACAUGAUUUUCAGAACCCAAGACACACUUCACAUGUAUGAAAUAUAAAAAAAAUAAAAUAAUGAAUAACAACAACAAUAUCACCUGAUAGAACAUGGACGUUAAUUGAUUUUACGUUGUGUUUGUGGUUAUCAGACUUGUAAACUCUGCAUGCAUCUUUUUCACUCUUAUUCAUAAACUAACAUUUUGGUGUAAAUUGAUGAAAAAGUUUCACACAAGUAUUUUGAAUAUUUGCUGCCUCCAUGUAUAAUGUAUUGUUUUUCUCUUUAAUUAUAUUGUAAGUCAUUUAUCUUCGAUUCCGACUAACGUAUUGUCGGCUUAGCUCCUCCCACUAGUUAUUGUAACCCCGCCUGUUGGGACUGCUGGGACCGCUGGGAAUGUUUUUCGGUUUGUUUACUGGGACUGCUGCGAAACUGCACUGGGACAGCUCUGGGACUGCUUUCUGUCAGGUUGGGUCUGUUUGGUACUGUUAUUUAUAUGGCGGCCGUCAGAUAACAAGUGGCGGCCGCCAGUUAAAUUAAGUUGCGGCUGCUACACAAAUUAAGUAGCUGCCGCCAGUUAAAUUAUCCUGGCACCUAUCAGUUGAUCAUAAAAUACUUUGUGAAAAAUUGAAUGUCAUCGGCGUUAAGUCAAUUGAAUGUUAAAUCCUAUUUAUCUGGGAGAAAACAAAUUGUAAAUGUAAACAAUGCAAAUUUUGCUGUAUGUAAUUUUACAUGCGGGGUUCCUCAAGGCAGUUUACUUGGGCCUCUUUUAUUUCUAGUAUAUGUUAAGGCAGUGGCGUACCUACAUUAUAGCACUGUAAGCACGUACUUACAAAUAUGUUUUGCAAUUAAUAAAAAAAAGAUUGUUAUUAUUUCAUAGCAGCUUCCGACAACGCUUUGCGUUCGUACUGGAACUAGUUUCGUUAUGUUACAGACCGGUCACCAUGAUUAGGUGGUCAGAGGGGUCGUUUUGUGACGGGGAGGGGGUUGUGGAUCAGAAACCCACUCGUACCUUGGCCGUGUUAUGUACUCACGGCUUAAGAAUACAUGUAAUGACUCGUAUUGACUCUGAACAAUCCGUAAAGCGAUUGUAACCCGACGUGAAUGAAAUCGUAAAUAUCACUUAAGCAUUCGUAAUAAUCCGUAAACAACUCGUAAACUACCCGUAACAUAUCGUAAACUAACCGCAAAGAUUAGAAAAAAAACUGUUUACGAUUGUUUUACGGAUUUUUACGAGCAUUUUACGUGUUCUUGCGACCAGUUUACGAUAUUUACGGAUUGUUACAAGUUAUUUAUGGGUUAUUUGCAUGAAAUGAAAUCCGUGGACAAGGGUGAUUUUUUUGCCCCUAUUUUCGCGGAUCCUUACGAGUGUGUGCGAGUAUCCGAGCUGGCCGUGUAGGUGGAAAAUUUUACAAUAUCAUAAAACACAAGUAUUCAAACACUAAAUAUUGCUGCAAAGACGAAUCUAGAUAUAGUGAACCGUUUGUGCCUACUCGUGGGUUAAGCAAGGAGAUCACCUUUCCCCUACUCUAUUUAAUAUAUUUAUUGAUGAUUUCUACUCACAACAUAUGAAUUUUAACACAAACCCACUUAGGCUUCAAAAUGAAUAAAAAUAUUUGGUAAUUAUUCUCAGUUGUACUGGUAAACUUAAAUACGCAGCUGAACAGCUGGAUGGCUCUGCACGGAAAGCUUUUUAUGCAAGUAAACAUUUCUUAUCAUAAACUAUCUGUGAAAACUAUUUUAAAAUUUUAUUCUGCUCUUAUUGAACAUUUCAUUUCACAUGGUUCUGAAAUUUGGAUUUUAGAUUUUAAUAUGUUCAUUAACAAUUGUGACCUAAUACCCUUUGAAAAAAUACAGCACUUAAUAUUUAAAGACAUUUUGGGUGUACAGAAAAGCUUCAAAUUUAGCCAUCAAAUAUGAACCAGGAACAUUUCCCAUCUCCUUUCAAGCUCUCCUCUCUAUGCUUAGAUUUUACAAAAUACUAAAAAGCUAUGCUGAUGAAAACGAUAUUAAAAAUCCAAUACUUAUGGCUGCUAAACUGGAGGAUGAUAACCUUUAUACCACUGGUUUACAGGAAAAUUGGCAGGGACAAAUACUAAAGUUAAGAAAUAAGUUAAAUCUUUUAUCAUCAGAUAUUGAUAAAAGCACAUUCUACAAUUACCUGAAAAAUUAUAAUAUUGUCAAUAUUAACAUGCUGCUGCAAAAUACUGAAUUCUCUAAACGUGGAAAAUUGCUAUUUUACAGUAAAAUUAGAAAGAACUAUGAAUUACAAGACUAUUUGAAAUUCUCAAUUGCGAAAGUAGUACGCUCUAAAUUUCCCUUUCAACAUCUACAAUUAAGAUGAUGAUAUAUCAAAGGAAAACCAUUGCAAAGUACUAUGCAACCCUGUUUGUAUGCCAACAUGUUUGGUGAAUGAAUACAUUAAUUGAACUGAAUUGAACUAAAACUAGAAAGAAAAACCCCACUUUCACUCAGACUCACACAAUACACUAAAUACACCUUCCGGAACUCUUCUUUUAUCGAAAUACAAGGUCACCUCUUUCAUUUGUAAUGUUUGGUCCUGAACUCUUCAAUAUACUCGAUAUAACAAUGCCCCAGUUUGACAAUGUUCACAAGCCAAUGGUUUAAAAAUCGUAAACUCUUGGCUAGCGAAGAUGCUGUUUGACCUUCGUCGCAAGUCACGCCUAUUGUGUCCGUUUACGCUACGUCAAGUGCCGUGGCUGUGGGAUCAAAAUUAUCCUCGACUUCAUGAAUAUUUAUAUUCAUUAAUCAGUCAAUCGGCGAGCUUCCAUUUUUUAUGGAAAGAAAAUAUUCUCAAGUCAUGGCGUGCUCGUAGCGGAAUAAUCCGAGGAUUGCCGAUUGAGAAGAAACUGUACACGUUUUAGCUGUAACAGUUGUAACUAAUGGACGCCCUUUGUUGACUUCACCAGUGUAAUAAAUUUGCCAUAUCAUAUGCGUAAGCACGCCGCUUUCCUUAAAUAAUUGUCCGAUCGACUCUACUCUUUCAGAUUUCAAAACAUCCACUUUACCCCGAAUUUCCUUAUCAUGUUUCAGAAUAGAUUAAUUUUAUGAACACAUAAUUGACAAGCGUAACCACUACUGUUAAUGCGAAUUUCAUUUCAUAAAUACAUGUACUUGAUAUAAACUUGACUUGCUUCUGUAAAUAGGGAUAUGUGGCCUGUUUUGUUCGUUAUUACUAGUCUAUACUGCAGGCUUUUAGGGCACCUGAGUAAACUCAGGUGACCUAUUGCAAUUGGUUGUCGUUCGUCGUCGUCAGUCGUCCGUCGUGUGUUAACCAUUGAACAUUUUUAACUUAUUCUCGAUAACUACCAGUCCCAUUUCUUUUCAUAUUGACAUGUAGCAUCUUUGGGACAAGGGGGACAUCUAUUGCAAACUUCAGGACUCCUGCACCCCUGGAGCCUUAGGGGCGGGACAAAAACUGCCCAAAAUUGACCAAUUUUCAACAAUUCACUUCUAUACAACCGCACACGUGUAAGAAAAACUAAAUGCGUCGUGAUGUAGAGCAGGAUUGAUUGAUUGAUUGUAUAUUGCUUAACGUUUCUCUUGAGAAUAUUUCACUCAUAUGGAGACGUUUGUAGAGCGGGAGGCCUCUGUCAAAAUUGUAAAUUUCAUGAACCCCGGGGUAGGGGUUCUGACACCAGGGCAGAGCCAUGCUUGGUAUAUAGUGUUUAAUGUGUAAACACUUAAAUAACAUCUUCUUUAGUGUCAUUGAUACUAAAUGGAAAGUAAAUGGAUAUUUAGAAAAACAGGUAGUCCUUUACCAAAAUUGUAAAUUUGAUGAUCCUAAGGUUUUGGUAUCAGGGUGUGGCCAAAAUGGUCAGUUAUUAAAUGUGUGAACAAUAUACAUUUUUAAUUUCUUCUUGAUAAUAAUCAUUCCAAUUUUUUUCCAAUUUGAUAUGAAGCAUAUGUGGGACAAGGGGGAGGCUUAAAUUGUAAUUGGGCCCUUGGGGGCAGGGCAAAGACUUCCCAAAAUUGACCAAUUUUCAAAAAUCUUUACAACCACACAUGUGUAAGAAAAACGAAAUGCUUAGUGAUAUACAUGUAACCUCCACAAAAAUGUAAAUUUCAUGAUCCUCGUUGUAGGAGUUUUGACCUCAGGGCGGAGCCAAUCUCACUAUAUAGUGUUCAUGUGUAUAAUACUUAGAUACCAUCAGAUCAGUGUUGUUGAUACUAAAUUGAAAGUAAAUGGAUAUAUAGAAAGAGCAGGUAGUCCUUUACCAAGAUUGUACAUUUGAAGAUCCCCGGGUUAGGGAUUCUGACCCCAGGGUGGGACCAAACUUAGUAUACAGUAUUUAUCUGUAAGUUUGCUGAUACUGUAUGAAAUCUAAAUGCAUACUUAAGAAUAGCAGAAAAGGAUGUACAAAAAUUGUAAUUCUACACAUCUUGUUUUAUACUCUUGCUGAACAUUAGAAUUUACCUUAUACAUUCAGAACAGGACAAUUUUUUUUUUCUAGAUUUCAUAGCCCUUUGGAGUAGUGAUAUUUUUUCAUUAGUACUCAGGUGACUGAUAAUACCUGUGGGCCUCUUGUUUGUUGUGGGCGCAGACAUUAAAGUAUCGGAAAUUUGUUAUUGUACUUGUGAUUGGUCAAAGAAAUUAUUGCAUCACUUUAUAAACAUUCAUGAAAAUCGAGGGUUUGCUGAUCAUGUCGGCACGGUUUGAGGUCGGGUAGGUACUUCUGGGCUUAGAACCGUGGUUAACGAUGUUGCAGCUUGACAUGUUACAUGUAUGACUGUGCAGGCCACGUUUUUUCCCGUGCUAGAUGGCGCGAUGUCGCUUGUCAAACAAUCUUGUGAUUUUCUACCGUCUUCUUUAUAGAAGGCAUCGCUAUGCGAAAACACACGGGUAAACGCGUUAUCGGCUAUUCGGUUAUCGGACAUUCGCUUCAAUGACGUAUGUUUGGGAAACACAGGGUAACUUCAUACGUUGUUUUUAUUGAUAAAGACACAUUCUAUGCCGCGGUAAUAGUAAUACUAAAUAGGUAUAUGAUCAUCCUUUCAGCAGCUAAAAGCGCACAUCAAUCAAUUCCCAUUUAAAAGAUUAGCAGCACUGAGAAUAGAAAAUCCAUUAUGCAUUUUGUAAAAAUCUAUCAAAAAUGUAAUACUAGAGCUGUAAAGAAUUGUAUUUAUUCAAGAGGGGGUAUUGAUUAGCAUUUUUAGACUUAAAUAAUCCUAUACAGCAUUAACUAGACACCAAAUUGGUGUUUUAGUAAUAGAAAAUUCGUGAAACUGGUGUUGUUAAGUGUUCGGAACAAAGUAAUGGAGACUUAAAACUAUAGUAGUUGCGUUGUGUCAUUCUUAUCUGCUGGGUACUGAGUUGGUGGAUCUAAUAGAAAUUAAAAGUUUUUUCUGGUGACAAAUCGAUUGAUAAUAUAUUGUUUAAUGCCCCUCUCGGGAAUGUUUCCCUUAUAUGGAGACGUCACCAUUGCAGAUGAAGGGCUGCAAAAUUUAGGCCUAUCAUAGGCACUUACGGUCUUUGAGCAAGGAGGGAUCUUUAUCGUGCCACACCUGCUGUGACACGGGACCUCGGCUUAAGCGGUCUCAUCCGAAGGACCGCCCCAUUUAGUCCCAUCUUACGACAAGCAGGGGAUAAUCAGGACCUACUCUGACCCGAAUCCCCACGGGCAUUUUGUAUAUGUAUGAUUAACUGUCAGACAAAAUAGUAGCGUAGUACAUGCAAUGUAUGAAACAUUUUAUACUAGAGAAAGGGAGCUUGGACUGGUGUCAAGUUAUGAAAUGAUGGAGCUUUUAAAAAAAACCUUUUCCCCUAACAGUAUGAUUUUUUUAAAAAACUUUUAAAACAAUCUAAGUCCUCAUUGAAUCCGAAUUCAUAUUUUUCUUUCAGAUUCCAUGGAUGAUUUCACGUGCUACUACUAUAGCUUCUCGACAUGUCAUUUCGAAUAAUAGUAUAACAUAGUACUGAUAACUAUCCCAGUGAUGUUAUUAAAUGCAGACAAUAAGUCAUUAAACUUAUCAGAGACACCCAAGCGAAAAUACAUGUAUAUGUUACAAGAACCUACUAAGAACUAAACCUUGAUGUACCACCUACCAAAUAACAAUCCACAUGUAAAUGAAAUGUAACAAUACUAAUUUCUACAUACAAUUUAUAGUGUCUGACACAUGUACCAGAACGCACGAACUCAAAACUCAAUCGAGAUGGAUGGACAGGGAUAAACAUACAUUCCCUUUGUCCACCGUGAUCAAACCCUAACUUGAUAGCACAGUCAUUCUCUAUCAAAUGAGGAAAUGUUUUCCGACCAUGCAUUACAUACAAUUUAGUGCCAAUGCGAUUUACUCCGAUAAGUAUGCAGAAAAGGUUUUUUGCCACGCACUUGGCACAUUUAUUCACUGGUCAUUUGCUAUGAUCCUAUAAGGCUGGUUCUUGUCCGGUUGUUUGAUAUUUGUCUCUUUAGACACGUUUUUCACUUUCAUUGCAUCCUUGAAAUUUCACACCACAUAUACCUGUACGUACAUGAAUUCAAAUAUUCACACUAAUUGAAUAACAUUGCAAUUGAAGCCUGAUUAUGUUUGUCGCCAUAAGCAGAGCAGUCUCGUAACCAGAGAGAAAACGAAGUGUACCAAUGAAAUCACCUAUUUUUGUGUGCAUAGAAACAGGGUUUCUUGUCAAUUCCGAAACCCAAAAGAGUUUACAAAAUUAUUUUCUAAAGUGUUUUAGUGUACCAACGCAUCGUGUGUACGUGGACUGAUUUAACAUUCGUUUUAUGAUUUCCCCCUCUUUGUUUUCGACAGAAUGGUAUAAACAUGUAUGGUAAAUGUCACUGAUGAAAGGUGAAGAUAACGAACAGUGAUCAAUCUCAUAACUCCUAUAAGCAAUAAGAAUUAGAGAGUUGAGCAAACAUUGACCCCUUAAUACACCAUGGAUGAGAACAGGUGUCUAUGACGAGUAAACAUCCUCUGUCACACCCGCCGUGAGCCCUAUAUCUUGAUAAGGUAAGCGGAGGUAUCCGUAGUCAAAACCAGCGUGCCAAGAAAGAAGAAUAUCCUAAUCCGUCUACUUCAUGUCCAUACACUGUAUGAUGUACAGUGAUCCCCCGCUAUAACGCCAACAUUUGUACCUCGGCAAUUUCGGCAUUAUAACGGGGGUGGCAUUAUAUCGGGGGAAGGGGGUAUGUGUACAGUUGUCAUAAGAAAUCAAACACAUUUAUCUACUACAUCAUGCUUUGAAUGCCUGGAUAAUCCCGGCUUCCUGUGGUCGUAAAUGCCUGAUAAUGGUAGGAGUAUUUAAUGAUUUCUAGUUUUUGUUUGAUGUCCAAGACACUUACACUUAGGUGUGUCCGCCAUACUUAGAUUUCAAAACCAAUACUGCAUAUCUGAACUCAGUUGAUUAUAAUUUACGUAACUUAUUAUCUGCUGCAAACUUUGAUAUCUUGAUAACUAAUGUCAGAUAAUUGCGUAAGCCAACUCACUGAAAUUUUCCUGCCGUUGAUUGGCGAUAAUUCGCGAGGGUGAUUAUAACGGAAAUUGACCCAAUCGUACCUGUAAAUAGGUUGGCGGAUGGCGGCAUGCGGGGGAUGGCGCUAUAACGGGGUUUAACAUAGCAAGGAAAACAGGACUUUGAACUUUUUUGGCGAUAUGCGGGGGUGGCAUUAUAACGGGGGCAAUAUAACGGGGGAUCACUGUACAUUAAAAUGAUAUUCAGCAUGAUGUUAAUGAUUGGAAAUUGAUUGAAUGGACAUUAUGAUGCUGAUUAAAUCAUAAACCGGGGUUAUAUAAUGCAGUUACUUUUAGACACAAAUACCUUAAUGGCAAAGUCUCCCUCUCUCUCUCUCUCUCUCUCUCUCUCUCUCUCUCUCUCUCUCUCUCUCUUUCUUUCUUUCUCAAAUAAUUUGUACGCAGUUUCGUACUUGCGUAUAGGUAGCUACGCGUUUGCAGAGUAUUAUAUGUCUUUCUUAUAAGAUAAGAAUAUGCAAGACUCCACGUAUUUUUGUAUCUGAUUGCUAUUUUUGAUCUAACUUUAAUAUAAUGUACAUAGAAAAUAAGCAAAGCCCGAUGAUAAGAUCAUACAACUUGUUUAUAAAAGCAGAAAGGGGCAAUCAAUUUCACGUUUUAUUAGAAGAGAAUUCUUUCCACCUUAUGUUAUUUCAUAUACAACUCAUUAAAUGGUUAAUGCUGAGUAUUCGUGUGAUUCUUACUUUCCUCUACAGUAACAUCAACCUAAUUACUGAUAACCAGAGUUACUGAUAACAUUCAAAGUAAUCAACCAAAUUUCCGGUAACGAAUUAAAAUCAAAAUUAUUGCUUGUAGAUUGACAAAACUUGUCUCAACGAUUGAUUGAUUGUAUCUUGCUUAACGUCUCACUCGAGAAUUUUUCACUCAUAUGGAGACGUCACCAACACCGAUGAAUGGCUUCAAAUUUAGGCCUAUGCUCGGCGCUUACGGCCAUUGAGCAGUGAGGGUUCUUUAGCGUGCCACACCUACUUUGACACGGGUCAUCCGUUUUUAAGGUCAUCUCCGAGGACCCAUGACAUUCACAUCUGUUGCCGAGCGUUUGGCGAUGGAACUGUCACUACCUGUUUUAACGACUUAGGUGUGUCGCGGCCGGGAUUCGAACCCCGGGCCUUCCGCAUACGGGGUGAACGGUCCGUGGUUCGAAUCCCGGCCGCGACAUUGGCCAUAUGUUAUAUUGUUGACAGUAAGUAAUGGUUGAUAAAUUGCAGAAAAUGUCGGGUUGCAUUUACUUACAAUAAAAAUUGUGACCAAAAUGUGUAACAAAAUUGGUAAAUUUUACUUUUGUAAACGUUCUAUUCUUCUACAUCAACACCAUAGAAUACAUCCGCGCAUUUUUCUUGAAUUUUAAUACUUACGGUCCAACGCAAACUAGUUGCCGUGCCCUAAAAGAACUCCAAUCACAAUUAUUUUAAGAAAAUAAACUUACCAGUCCAAACCACUUUCAACCGAAUGUCCGAAUUCUACCGAAUAGCCGAUAACGCGUUUACCCGUGUGGAAAGGUUGUUAUUGCUUUUCUUGACAUUUAAAAUGUUACAUAUCACAGUCAUUGAUACAAUUUAAAAGAUAUACGCCUUUGCUGAAAACAUAAAUAAAAGACGUCAUGCUUUGUUAGAACACUUCUGCGGUGACAGACAUCUGUCUCGCAGAAACGCAUGCAACUUCUCAAAUCUUAUUGAACAUGUAAUGGACCGGCUCGUGCCGUCCCAUAAUAAACACAUAAUGCUAUAUGCCACCCCCUAUUUUAUUUACAGAAUACCGUUAACUUGUAUGGAUAUCCAGCACCAAAAUUGUAGCAUAUGCAUUUUUAAUCAUGAUACAUAUGUAUAUAUAACUGCAAUUUGUUUUUCUACCUACAAUGCAUUAUUUGGCUAGUUGUAUUCGGCGCCGGACGCGCCCGCGCGGCAAUCGUGAUCAUUGUUUUCCGGUAGAAUUUGCCAUGGUAAUAAACACUCACAUGAGCUUAAUUUUCUCUACUUUUUAGCUUUAUCGCUUGUUUUUUUUUUUUUUUUUUUUUUUUUUGUUUUUUGGUUUACGGAAAUAGCUUACGCAAAUAUCAACCCCAAUCAAAGUUGUUUUUUUCAAAGACAACAAACUAAUGAUACUUAGUGUCUUUUAGCUAUCAAUAUAUAUUUUGCCCUAAAGUGUUUAUAUCUAUAUGAGAAUUCACAAUUUUAGGAGCUAGGAUACAACCCACAGAAUUUCCCACUUUGAUGACAAAUUAUUUACUAAAUGAAUGAAUUAUCAAUAAAUAAGUGUCCCUUCCCAGUGUCUAAAUAUUAAUCAUCCGUCAGACUUUAUCAAUUGUUAUGUACAUAUUUCUUUUCUUUUUUCAAUAUUUUUUUUUUGCCUGGGCUCAUAUGAUGUGAAAGCCCCCCACCCCCCACCCCCCAACCCAACCCUAACCCGUUUAUCAACACUCCAAAUGCCAUGCGAAACUGCGCAUAUAAGACCCCCUUAUCUUUUUCUGAUCCAGGAUCAACACAUUUAUUUUCUUUUUAUACUUAUGUUUUGUAAGUAUACAUUAAAGAUUAUCGAAAUCUCUUCUACGUUCAAUUAAAAUUCUCGUUGUCAUUGAUGAUAUUUCUUCUUGAUUUAUUAAAUUUUUAGAUAAUAUUUGAUGUAUAUUUACAAUCCAUAAGUUAGAAAGGUGUGUAGAAGGUUCGGGGGUGGGGUGGGGGGGGGGGGGGUUGCAUGAUCCAUCAUACUUCAAGUCCCUGUCUAUAUAUUAAAACUACCCCUAUUAUGACCUCACCACGUGCGACUUCUGGUAAAAUAUCGAACCGAAAUAACGUAUGAUAAAAAAAUUAGCGAUACAUUUCUAUAAAAAUAAUUGUAACGCGCGGACGCAUUAUUUUUGGUCUAAUUGAUUUUCUCGGAAUAGCAGCCUUUUGACGUAAAAUUUCCAAUUGAUAAAGUACCGAAACCUGUACCAAAAAUGUCAACGAAGCCCUGGGCCCUACAUGUAUGUAUGGCUAUGGCAUUUUUAAAAUUGUUCAGUAUACAUCAGUGGCGGAAUUAGGGGAGGGGAGCGCAGCCCUGAAAUUUCAAAUCAAAGUCAAAUCGUGGUGUGUUGUUUAAAAAAAAUGUACUAAACGAUACCAGAAGCAAUAUUUUUUUUCCACUCCCGGAGAAAUAAAUCACAAAAUCUCUUGAUUUCUUGAAUUACUUUAUUGGGAGAACUUAUUUUUUUCCAAAAACCCUUAAUGUUUGCGUCAUUUUAUUAAUUUCACAUUAUAAAAAAAUGAUAGAAAAUGUUACAAAUGACUAAAUAGGGACACGUUUCAAGCUCUAUAAAAUCUGUUGAAUCCAGGAGCUUUCGGGGGCUUCACUCUGGAGCCACUGGGGCCUUUAAGGCUGCGCCCAGACCCCUUGCUUCAUAAAGUGACAACCCCUGUAACAGCAAUUCCUGGAUCCUCCCUAGUACAUGUAUAUUUAUCUAUUUAUAUUUAUAUCUCUAUCUUUCUGUCAGUCUACAUACAAGUAUCAGUAGGUAGAUUUAAACUGAUAAGUAAUGUCUUGAGUUCCAGCCCCGCUCGUGCUAUGACUUCGUCAAACCUAAAAGGUAAACAUAGUAAUAGUGCUCCAUCAUAAACCGCUCAGCAUUUAGAAGCGAGAGUAAGACCUUUAAGGAGGUAUGCUACACCAGAGAAAUUUGAUGUAGAUGAAAAGUGGAAAAUAUGUACAACAAUAUUUUGAAGUUGAAAUUUUUCAAAUUUACUUAAUUUUGUCAAAAAAUACAGUUUUAGUAGAAGGUAAUCUGAAAAAAUAAAAUAAAACCUCUGCUGGACUUGAACCUGUGACCUACAGUUUAGUAGUCGGUAUGCUAACCUACUGAGCUAAUCGGCUAGGUAUCUUAAUUGAAAAGCAAAAGUCAAAUAUUGCUGAUAUUGAUUUUUUCCUUCAUGUUUUAACCCUUUCUCUACCGUAUCGGUCAAUAUGACCGAUAGCGCGUAAAAACAGGGCUACGCAAAAGGAGUGUCUAUAAAUUUUUGAAACUACGGACGUAAUAUAUAUGUUUUAUAUAUCAUAUUUUUGGAAAUUUUCUAUAUUUUUUAACUAUGCAAAAAUCAAUUGAUUAAAUAAAGCCAUUAAAUUAAAAAAAGCAUUUAAAAUGAAGGAUGACUUCGUCUAAAUAUGACGCAACGCUUUGUAGCAAGGCCAUUUCCCCCCUCGCUAUGAUUUUUUUUUAUUUUCCCUAUGACUGCAAUAUUUUUUAUAUAUUUGAGAAGCAUAUAUUCCCUGCUUUCAGUACAUAUAAAAAUUAUUUUUAAUGCCUGGCAAAGUUAUAAGAAAAUAGCAAUUUUUUGCACAUAUACGUUGUUUUACGAUUUUAUUUCGCAAUGUUUAAACAGAUCGGCGUUUUAUCUAUAUUUAUAUAUGGAAAUAGGGAAAAGUAAAUACAUCCUGUAGAAGUAGAGGAAAUGUUCUUUUUGAUGGACCCUUAUUCAUAUUAUAAUUCUCGGUAGUUUUUAUAUUACGAUAAAAUGAAAUUGGGACAUGCUGCGCGGUUUUCUUAAAAAUUAGCGACAAAUCGACGUCGCUAAAAGCAAUCGACGCGCGUCGCACAAUAAAGUGGUGAAAACUAUUUGUAUUGUCCUCUUUUAGUAAAUUCAGUACCUGUUGAUACACUAAAACAACAUACAUACAUGUAUGAAAUAAUCAGCCAGGUAUCUCUGCUUUUUUUUUUUAAAGCAUAAAACCAAUAUUGGUUUAUAACAGUUACACAACCUACAUGUAACUUCAUAAAACACCUAUUGAGAAUAUUACAUCGGCAGAUUGAAUUUAAAAAAAGAUAAAUAAAGUACUUCGAAUUCAGAUAUAAACGUUAUAUUUGUUCGGAAUAGUAAUAAUUUUUUUCUCUGCCAAAGAAAGAAAACAAAAAAGAAGUUCGCCUAUAUAUAGCCUGUAUACUUUUAUUUUUCCGUGAUCCGGAUCGCGGGCCUCGCGGGCUUUUCUGAAAGUGUGCACGGAGAACACACGUGUUUCCGUUUCAACGAAAACAACACAGCUUCACCGUGACUGCCACAACCAACGCUUGUAUUUUACAUCUUUAAAACGACCUGAUGUCAGAAGAAGAUGCCCUGGAUCGCCUGUUGCAGGAUGACCCAAACGAUCAUGCAUUCAGUAUAAAUACGUACAUGGUAUUGACAUCGCAAUAUUUAGUGGGAAGUUCCCAGGUAUCAUCCGCUAGCGACAGUCUACUGACAAAUCCAGACAUGCAUUGGAAGGAUGCUGAUGUGGAGGACACAGGAACACCUGAUCCCAGAACUGUGGCAUUUCAUUCGGGGUGACAACCUGCCUUUCAGUUGGUAUGACUCUUUGAGGUUGAAUAUAGGGUUAAAUCAGUGUAAAUUUGAUUAACAUUCAAAUAAAUCCAGAUAAUACAUUCACAAUUGGAAUCAUGGCAUUAUGGUACACUGAUAUGUGUGUACCAUUUUACUGUUCCUUUUUUGGUGGGUUUUUUUUUUUUUUUUUUUUUGCUGCAUAACUAGGGAUCGUAUACAUACAAAAUGAGACAAAACAAUUUCUAAUUAGUUUCUAAUUAUAAGGUAUGACACGUUUUAAGGUAUGGUGGCCAAUACUGAUUUUAUUUGCAAUUUUCUUUCAGAUAUGGGACCCUAUUAUUCGGAGAACUGCAGAUUUUAUGAAGCUGUCUUUGACAGAAGAUUUGGUUUUCUCCAUCUGUGUUGCCACCAACCAUUAUGCUGAGAUGGUCAUAUCUAGGGGGAAGGGUUGCCAUAUACUUCCCAAGGAAGUUUUCAGCCUCUCACUGAAGAGGAACUGUACAGGUAUUACUAGUUUUAAAAACCGAUAUUGUGGCAGUGAUUUCCAGUUUCAAAAGAAUAAUAAAAUGCAUAGUAAAAAGAUUACCUUUACCAAAAUUAAUCUGGCUGUGAAUGUAACUCAUUUAUUAAAUGUGUACUACAAUUACCUCUGAUAAAAUUUCAUAAGUAAUUAAAUGCAUACUUUUCAGAGGGCCUUGAUUAUCGAAAACAUUUACAGAGCCAAUUUGAGUAUUCAAAAGCUUUGACAAUACAUUAGUAUUUAGGACUAAGUAUUAAGAAAUACUUUUUUUUCCAGAUUUUUGUGCAUUAUCUUAUACACGCCUGCUGUGAAGUUCCAGUCGAUAGACAGAUAUUGGUCAACGCAUGCCCCUGUCGGAACAACUCGUUAUCAAGAAUUAUGUCUAGAAAUAGGUUUCAAGAGGUUGAAUAUAAGAACAUUUUUGUUAAAUAUGAUGCAAGUACAUUUAAAUCUAGUGAUUGAAAGUAAGUACUUGAACAUUCGCUUAUGUUGAACUUGGAGAGGAAAAAUGGUUAGUACUUUUUGAUAACAUUUGAUAAGGUGUUGUUGCUUAGCAACCAAAUAUAACUGAAUAAAAAAUAGAUUAUUUUAGAUUAACAAUAAUUGAAAGAUCUUUGUUUUAAUGUUGCAAUACUUAUUCUAUUUAAUGGAACAUAAUGGCAAAACGUCAUAUUAUUAGAAAAUGAUGGACAAGUAUAUAAAGUACGAAGUUUCCAUUUGAUGAUCUUUGACCUUAAUUCUCUUCAUUACAUUUUUUGUUAAAAACCUUUUAAAAUGAUUAAGAUCUAUUUAAAGAUUAUAUUUUUAAAAUAAUGUGACAUUUACUAAUCAUCAUGGAUUGUAAUUACGUUUAAAUUGUGUCGAAUGGAUGCAGAAAGGCAAAUUAUGGUCAAAAUUGUACUAUGAGUGUUGUUACUUAGCAACCAAAAAUAUUUGUUUGUCAAUAAAAUUGAUUAGUUUGA
This is a long non-coding RNA of Ostrea edulis (European flat oyster), 22298 nucleotides long. RefSeq lists it as uncharacterized. The record is from RefSeq and is a predicted model, not a curated record. The transcript is spliced from 2 exons. NCBI's taxonomy places the organism in Eukaryota, Metazoa, Mollusca, Bivalvia, Ostreida, Ostreidae.